RNAcentral lists this ribosomal RNA (256 nucleotides) under uncultured bacterium. RNAcentral's name for it is "partial 16S ribosomal RNA". It matches the Rfam family "Bacterial small subunit ribosomal RNA", at positions 335 to 587 of the family's 1533-position model. The record is from RNAcentral.
UGCACCUACGGGGCGCAGCAGUGAGGAAUAUUGGUCAAUGGGCGAGAGCCUGAACCAGCCAAGUCGCGUGAGGGAAGACGGUCCUAUGGAUUGUAAACCUCUUUUGCCGGGGAGCAAAAAGUGGUACGUGUACCGCAUCGAGAGUACCCGGAGAAAAAGCAUCGGCUAACUCCGUGCCAGCAGCCGCGGUAAUACGUAGGGUGCGAGCGUUAAUCGGAAUUACUGGGCGUAAAGGGUGCGCAGGCGGUUGAGUAAG